UCUUCUUUUUUGACCACUUUACUGCAAAGACCAAGAGUUGUUACUUCUGAUCACAUGUGGGUGCUGAGAAGGCUGCUAGGAUCAUUUGACUAUGGAAGACAACAGAAUGGUAAAGCUGGGAUGAUCAUGUGGAUCAUUCUGGAAGAGAGGAAAGCCCAAAGACAUUUCCCAAGGCCUUGCAACUAGUUUUUGGCUUAUCCAGAAUACUUAACUCCAGGGUGACUUAGGUUGCCAUUUACUAAUAGGUGCAACUUGUGUGAAAGGAUGAGCAUUUUGAAGAACUGGGUGAAAACUCAGUUGGAAAAGCACAGGAAGCCUCUAAAUGAGAGACAGCUGAGUUGGGACAAGCACACAGAGUGCAGACUAAACUACGCCCGUGCAAGGUGCAGACAUCUUCUCAGCCACUCUAUCCACGAAUGCUGUCUGGUGGCAUCCAAGCAUGGCCAAACAUUCAGAUGGAAAAUGAAGAAUCCAGAACAUCUCCCAGAUGCCCCAGGUAUCUGCAUUCUUGGAAAGAAGGAAACCGACUUUCAGAUGAAAACAUCACAUUUCUCUGAAGAAAAUGCCUUUGGUUUUAGUUUGAAGAGGGUUGGCCUCCUGCUGUACUUGAAAAAAAAAUCUCACUUUUAAAACACAAGCAACAGAUGAAUAACCUUUUCCUUCAUCAUGUCUAGUGAUUAAAGCAUACGGUUCUCAGUU
Long non-coding RNA from Pan troglodytes (chimpanzee), 699 nucleotides. RefSeq lists it as uncharacterized. The record is from RefSeq and is a predicted model, not a curated record. NCBI's taxonomy places the organism in Eukaryota, Metazoa, Chordata, Mammalia, Primates, Hominidae. The transcript has 4 exons.